Molecule: ribosomal RNA, 253 nt
Filed under: uncultured bacterium
Lineage: Bacteria
Description: partial 16S ribosomal RNA
Rfam family: Bacterial small subunit ribosomal RNA
Source: RNAcentral
UACGAAGGGGGCUAGCGUUGCUCGGAAUGACUGGGCGUAAAGGGCGCGUAGGCGGAUGGCACAGUCAGAUGUGAAAUUCCCGGGCUUAACCUGGGGGCUGCAUUUGAUACGUGUGAUCUAGAGUGAGGAAGAGGGUCGUGGAAUUCCCAGUGUAGAGGUGAAAUUCGUAGAUAUUCGCAAGAACACCAGUGGCGAAGGCGGCUCACUGGCCCGAUACUGACGCUGAGGCACGAAAGCGUGGGGAGCAAACAGG